Molecule: long non-coding RNA, 1368 nt
Organism: Tetranychus urticae (two-spotted spider mite)
Lineage: Eukaryota; Metazoa; Arthropoda; Arachnida; Trombidiformes; Tetranychidae
Source: RefSeq, a predicted model, not a curated record
UCAGAUAAAUUAUUCUUAAUAAUCUGAACCAUUAAUUGUUUUAAAAUCUUAAUAAUAAGGCGAAAGCAACUUGCAAAUAAAAACGGUUAAAAUAAGGACGUAACUUUUUUGAAUAUCAUUUUACAGUUAGGAGAAAGAGCAUAAGAAUAGCUUGUGAAAUCAAUUCUUUUCUGGUUAAAGUUAAACUUCAAAAUAACCAUUAAUCAGUGGAUAAUCUGUUGAUGAUGGAAGUGAUAAAAACAAGAGGAUUCUAUGUAAUAUUCUCUUGUUCCUUAUAUUUCUUUGUCCUGGUUACAUUCAAAUCUAAAAAUAUGUUACCAACUGUAACUUUUGCAACCAAACGUAUCUCAUAGUCUUCUCAUGGUUUCAUCUUUUUUCUCAAUUAUAUUCAUUGUACAGUUGAAAUACAAUUGUAAUUGGAGGAAUGUUAAACAGAGGCAAAGCAAAGAUACAAAAUCAAGCAAGAUCAAAGACUGAUUAGACACAAUUGACUUGGCAACAAAUCAUAUUGCUGAAUGAUUCAAGAUUACAUUUCAACUUUUGGAUUUCAAAUAGUUUUCCGGGCAAACGCAAUUCCAUGGCAAUUAUUUUGGAGGACUUUUUAUAUCCACAAGAAUUGAGAGACCCUGGAAUAGAGUCCGAACCAUUUGAUUUAAACAAUAGAAACAAUCAUCAACCAUCAGAUAAGGAACCACACUUCUGGUCUACAUUAAGAAGCUACAAAUAAGCUUAUUUCAAAUUGAAUAGACAACAAAGUGACUAAUUGUUGGUAAAAUAUCUCAAAGCUGCUGUUGUAACUAUUGAUGGUUAUACAAUUGAUGCAACAGAUGAUAGCAAUUGUAUUAAGAUGAAGAUGCCAAAAUAAUCCAACCUUUAUUCAAGAAAAGACUGUGACUUUGAAAAUGAGUUAUUUCCAUCAUCUGAAGCUAAUUUUUCAGCAAUCAACCUUUUGUUUCUACCAUUUGAACUAUGUAAAUCUUGUUGGGUUGUUUAUUUAAUUGGGAAAAGUAUUCUGUCUCAGUGUUGAUUUGCUCAUUUCACUGUUAAAUUGAGAUUCAAUUACACUGUCAAGUUAAAAUUAUCUUCAACAUAAAACCUUUUUUCUUGGCUUCGCCAACUAUUCCCAGUUAAUCAAUCAUGAUCAUGUAAUUGUGCCCAUCGAUAACUUACACCAAUCCUUCAACCAAAAGACAAUCACAUUAUCUUAUAUAAUCAGAUUGACAUAAACUCUGUGACAUAAAAUUAACCCCAAUUUACUCAUAAAUCAUUUAUUGUACAACUUGUUUCAACUUGUUGCAAGAAAACAAACUCAAUUUUCACAUUGAACAAAGAUUGUCAAAUUUUUAAUUAAAAUCAACAUAUUUCUUA